AGAUUGAACGCUGGCGGCAUGCCUUACACAUGCAAGUCGAACGGCAGCACGGGAGCAAUCCUGGUGGCGAGUGGCGAACGGGUGAGUAUACAUCGGAACGUGCCCAAUCGUGGGGGAUAACGCAGCGAAAGCUGUGACUAAUACCGCAUAAGAUCUACGGAUGAAAGCAGGGGAUCGCAAGACCUUGCGCGAAUGGAGCGGCCGAUGGCAGAUUAGGUAGUGGUGAGGUAAGGCUACACCAGCCUUCGAUCUAGUAGCUGGUCUGGAGAGGACACCGAGACCACACGUGGGACUGGAGAACCACGGACCCAGACCUCCGGACGGGAGGCAGGACAGGGUGGGUAACUUUUGGACAAGUCGGACGAAGCCUGACUCGACGCAGUCGCCGCGUGCGAGG
This 397-nucleotide ribosomal RNA is filed under the name uncultured soil bacterium. RNAcentral's name for it is "bacterial SSU rRNA". It matches the Rfam family "Bacterial small subunit ribosomal RNA", at positions 26 to 408 of the family's 1533-position model. The record is from RNAcentral.